UGAGGAAUAUUGGUCAAUGGUCGCAAGACUGAACCAGCCAUGCCACGUGCAGGAAGACGGUCCUAUGGAUUGUAAACUGCUUUUAUACAGGAAGAAACCCUCCCACGUGUGGGAGCUUGACGGUACUGUAGGAAUAAGGAUCGGCUAACUCCGUGCCAGCAGCCGCGGUAAUACGGAGGAUCCAAGCGUUAUCCGGAAUCAUUGGGUUUAAAGGGUCCGUAGGCGGUCUUAUAAGUCAGUGGUGAAAGCCCAUCGCUCAACGAUGGAACUGCCAUUGAUACUGUAAGACUUGAAUGCUUAGGAAGUAACUAGAAUAUGUAGUGUAGCGGUGAAAUGCUUAGAUAUUACAUGGAAUACCAAUUGCGAAGGCAGGUUACUACUAAGUGGUUGACGCUGAUGGACGAAAGCGUGGGGAGCGAACAGGAUUAGAUACCCUGGUAGUCCACGCCGUAAACGAUGGAUACUAGCUGUUCGGCGCAAGUUGAGUGGCUAAGCGAAAGUGAUAAGUAUCCCACCUGGGGAGUACGCACGCAAGUGUGAAACUCAAAGGAAUUGACGGGGUCAUAGCUGUUUCCUG
This 577-nucleotide ribosomal RNA is filed under the name uncultured bacterium. RNAcentral describes it as "partial 16S ribosomal RNA". It matches the Rfam family "Bacterial small subunit ribosomal RNA", at positions 355 to 1376 of the family's 1533-position model. The record is from RNAcentral.